GUAUUGACCAAGAAGAAAUUACAGGAUUUAGUAAGAGAAGUGGAUCCUAAUGAGCAGUUGGAUGAAGAUGUGGAGGAGAUGCUGCUGCAGAUUGCUGAUGAUUUUAUCGAGAGUGUGGUGACAGCAGCCUGUCAGCUUGCGCGGCAUCGCAAGUCCAGCACCCUGGAGGUGAAGGAUGUCCAGCUGCAUUUAGAGCGCCAGUGGAACAUGUGGAUCCCAGGAUUUGGCUCUGAAGAAAUCCGACCCUACAAAAAAGCUUGCACCACAGAAGCUCACAAACAGAUGCUCCUACUGUGGGCUGGGAUCACGUGUCUGCCUCUGACUGCAGUUAAAUCCAGAUGUCAGCUGACUUCUGCCACAGAUUCACUGUGUAACCUGGGGCCCAACUUCGGAGACCACCCUUAAACAUCAGUAGACUGGGAGCUGUACGUGGAUGGAAGCAGCUUUGCCAACCCCUGCAAAGUGACUCUGAAGAAGAUGGCAAGCCCUGCUCCAGUCACACCCGGAAGCUGACUGGUCCACGCACGGCCAAAGCAUGAGGAAACUCAUCCCGGGACUCAUUUUCCUUAAAAUUUGGACUUGUACAGUAAGGACUUCAACUGACCUUCUUCAGACUGAGGGCUGUUCCCAGUAUAUACAUCAGGUCACUGAGGUAGGACAAAAGAGUGCUACAGUCCUAUUAUUUUAUAGUUAUUAUGAAUGCCUAGGAACUCCAAAAGGAACCUGUUUGUAUAAUAACACUCAGUACAAAGUAUGUAAUCUAGGAAGUGACCAGUCCGAUGUGUGCUAUGACCCCUCUGAACCUCCCAUGAUCACAGUCUUUGAAGUAAGA
RNAcentral lists this small RNA (832 nucleotides) under Pongo abelii (Sumatran orangutan). RNAcentral describes it as "processed transcript". The record is from RNAcentral. Lineage: Eukaryota; Metazoa; Chordata; Mammalia; Primates; Hominidae.